Molecule: ribosomal RNA, 253 nt
Filed under: uncultured bacterium
Lineage: Bacteria
Description: partial 16S ribosomal RNA
Rfam family: Bacterial small subunit ribosomal RNA
Source: RNAcentral
UACGUAGGGACCAAGCGUUGUUCGGAUUUACUGGGCGUAAAGGGCGCGUAGGCGGCAAUUCAAGUAAUCUGUGAAAUCUCCGGGCUUAACUCGGAACGGUCAGAUGAUACUGCUUUGCUCGAGUGCGGAAGGGGCAAUCGGAAUUCUUGGUGUAGCGGUGAAAUGCGUAGAUAUCAAGAGGAACACCUGAGGUGAAGACGGGUUGCUGGGCCGACACUGACGCUGAAGCGCGAAAGCCAGGGGAGCAAACGGG